CAGAAAAAGGGGCUGGCCCAUUUCAAAGAGCCUUCAUAGAAAAAGUCAAGACGUGCGGUGCGGCCAGUGUGGGUCACAACAAACAGCGAUUAAGAAGAGUACACACAGCUGGAAUUAAACAGCUAAGAGUUCGCUUUGUUUUCAGAUCAAAUAGCUUUUUCAUUUUCUUACAGGUAACACUUUUUUCCCCCCAGUGCUUAACCGUUUUUACGCCGUUUUAUUUUUGCAUUGCAAAUCUCCGCAGUGAAACGAAUGAUUUCCAGGGAGAGCAGCAAGAUAGAGCCCCCAGCUGUCAGACAUAGGGAAAUGGUCAAGAGUGAAAAAGACAAAGAACAUGGCGAGAGUUAGUGGGCAGCGGUUAAAUGCCACCUCAGAUUAAUAUUACAUACGCGCACAUCAGAAAAACGAAACGCGAAUGUUUUUUUUUUAAAAAGCUUAUAACAGAAGUUCCUCCAGCUUUAAAGGGGGUAAUGGAAAAGUUCAGAACCUAGCAAGACGGCAGGGGUCAAAGAAUUUACCCUUCACUUGUCUUCCAGCGAACAGUACUGGACCAUGACCUUUCAAUGACUCACACAUGCUGUUUGGAAAAUCUGAUUCUCUUUAACUUCAUUGGGAAAGGUAUAUAUGGAUUUGAAACAAUAACAUGUUUGAAAUUGCAUGCACUUUGUAAUCUUCCCUACUCUUUAUCCACACCCUAAUCAUGGUCUCCCAAUUUUUUCCUUAAAUUGGAUACCAUUUUUAAUUAAAACCUAAAGCUAAUUGUUCUUUUGUCUAUAGAUAUACAUUAUCGGCUUUUCAUUAAAAUAAAGAGCACUCUUUCAUGAAAAAUGAAAAAUGUGAUACAUCAUGCAUAAAUGUUUAACAACAGAGUUGUAUUACAUGUCCAUGUAAUAUCGGGUUAACUUAUCGAGGGCAUAUCAUAUAAAUAAUUUCCUUGGCUUCCUAAUUGAUCCAUAUAAUCACAGUUGAUACUGUCAUAGUACUACUCUCAUGGCCUUCAAUAAGUGACUUGCACCUCUGAUUAUGACGAACACCCCUCCCCCUGUUGCUUUACUGUGCUAUAUGGUUGCCAAGUGUUAAGAAUUCCCGGAAUGCAGAAUUGCAGUGUUCUGAUAAAGUUUGCUUUGUUCCCUCAGUGACUUGACCCACUGAAGAAAAUAUGGGACCCUGGGAUUUUAAUAGAAGAGAGCCAGAAUUUUUAUGAAGUAUAGUGGCAUACUGCCUCAACCUGCUUAAUACCCAGGGGUUUUAUUACAUUUUCAAAGCUAGAGUUAGUGCACCUUCCUAAAUUAAGGAGCUAUAGUUGAAAAAUGCUGAUGAUUAAUAACUUUUAAAGCCCCAAGGCACUGUAAAAUUAUGAUUCUAAAAACCACAAAAUGCAUUCAGGUAAGAGGGUAGCUAUGCUUGUGCUCAGAAAGUUUUCCAAACUACAGAAAUACCAAUGAGCUCAUUUGUUUGAGAACUGAACCUGUUUCUAAAACAAACCUAGCUCUUAACUGCACUUUUCUGAAUUCUAAAUAAUUAACAGUUUUAGGAUUGAUGGAGAGGUCUGUCAGUAUUAAAUAAGGAAUUGUUGAGAGCACCUCUGCCCCCUUUCCCUCAGUAGAAAUAAACAAAAACCAUUUCCACUGCCUCAUGAAUACUGGAGUAGUGUUACUCCUGCGUUUGUUCUCUUUAUAUUAUUGUGGUCGAGGUAAGAUACAUGAUUCUUGACUGAAAAGCAAAGUGCUCAGUAGUGUUUAGAGUUAUGGGGACAAAAUUGCUAGCCAUUGUGUGCAACAGACUGCCACAUUGAUGAUCCAAUCAAUGUUCUUGAUAUAUUAAACCACAAGACCAAAAAAAAGACAGUCUGAACAGCCUCCUUUCAUCUGCAGCUUUACUUAAUUGUCACAGUAACUCUGAAAACCUUAUUCUUUUAACACUCCUCCCCAGAGAGGUGCUAUUAAGUCAUGAUAUGCAAGAUGGCAAUGAUAGCUACAUUUGUGUAGAAGAUGAUGAGGAGUUUCUGCAUCUGACAGAGCUGUUGUUGUUAAAAUGUUAGAGGGUUGAAGCCCCUCCUGUGAAGUUGAUGGAGUGACAGGAGUCUUUGGAUGUGGAAUAGGGGCACAGGGAUAGGAAGGGAGAAGGCCAGCCAGCAAGAGGAGCUUGGUUCCUAGUACGUUUGUACGUCUACACAGUAGAAGCAAUGGUGUCAUUGCUGAAGGCAGGCUGUGCCCUGAACUGAAACUGCCUGUGUCAAUUGGGAAAGCAGUUGCAAAGCAGACAGUGAGAGCCAAUACAGUAUGUUGUCCAGUUUGAGCAAAUUUUCUGGGAGGUGGAGCACAAGACCUACCUACAAGGUAGGCAGAAUUCAGAGAUUGAAAGCACAUGAAAGAGGGGGGUCUGUAGUUUUUAGUGUGAUGGUGACCGAGCUAUAGUUCUGGGGGUGUGUAGGGUUGUGUUGUUGAGAAGAGAGGCCAAGGAUAAUGUUCACGCACUAGAGAGGGAGACCGGGGAGUGGAAGAGGGAGUUGAGGGUGUCAUACUUAGUACAAGAAAUAGCCUGAGGCAAGAUAGGGGCUGUGGAGCUGCAGUCAGGCAGAGGGGCUGGAUCGCUGGCCUGGGGACGUGGUUAUGUGGGAGCAGUGGGGAUGGGGGGUGUUGAGGUCAAACAAAUCCAAACAAAUUUUCUCACUUCUUGCAAGAGUAAAUGCAAGAUCAUAUUUCCAUUUAAAAUCAGGCCUUUAGUUUCAAAACAAUGACAUUUUGAACCAUCAAAGGUUAUGCAACCAGAAAAAUAAUUUCUGUUCCUUGUGGCUGAGUCAUGCAGUUUGAACACUACAAAAAAAAGUGCCACUUCAGCACCUGCAGGACAAUCUCUCAGACUCUGCAGUUUUAGGGUAAACAGGGAUGUGCCUGUUUGGACACACUUGAAGGGCAAACAUAAACAAGAGCCGGGUUGCGGAAUAGCAGUGGUCAGAUUACAGAAAACAGUCAUAUUACCAUUUGAUCGACUGAUUCUGUGUUCGACAGGUUUGUGAUCUGUGUGAUUUAAGAAAGUUGGUAUGAGACUCUUUAAAAACCAUGUUAUCUUGCAUUUCAGUGUAUUUUGUUUGUAAAGUGGCAUUGAUGUCAUCAUUUAAUUUGCUAAAAUCCAGCCUUGACAGUGUGAGAGACUCUUCGUGGGAGCUUCUCAUGGUUUGGGGUUGACAAAGAUAGAUGGCAGUACUGGCAACUGUAAACAUCCUUGACUGGAAGCUGGUGCAGAAGAUGGGGCUUUCAGUCGGAUGUUUGCAGCUGCCAACUGCUAUUACCUUCAAAUCCCUCUUUCAUUUUUGUUAAUAACUCUCUGAAAUGUGAUGCUCCCAUCUUGCCUUCCCAAAGAAGUUGAUCAUUUCCAACAAAAAAAAUGCAAAAAAAAAAACACUGAACAAAACAGAAAAAAAACAUUGUCAUUGCUUGGACAAAAGCCCCAUUGAUACAAUUCUCAAUAUAACAAAGAUUUUUAAAUAAUUCAAAAGUAUUUAAUUCUGAAUGUCACAGUGAAUAUAGUGAAAAUAGCUGAAUAAAAUACUUGCUGCUAACUAUAAUUGAUGAGAAUUAUUCUUUACUAUGGCAUGUUUUCUUAUUGGUACAAUGACAAGAAAACAAUUGAUUAAAAACCAUUAUGAUGAUUGUUGUUAAUUUUAAUUGGGUGCUUCUCCUAAUUCAUAUAGUUGACUGCAAUUAGGUUUCCUAAAUACCUUCAUUUGCAACUAGCAUUGUAGUCGUACUGUUGAUUUCACUGUCCUUGAAUCAAUGCAAGAAAUUUGAAAAUGCAUGCAAAAACUGGUUUAUAAGAAGUAACAUUUAGAAGUUAAAGCCAAUGUGGCACAUUGAAUUACACCUUGAAUUCAACGAAUGGAUAUAUUUUAGUAAUAAAAAACAUUGUAAAACAAAACACCAGAGCCAAUAGGUAAUUAAAAUGGUUGCUUUGUAAGUUGCAGCUCUUUCUGGUUGGCCUCUGUUGUGGAAAAAUGUUAAACUCCUGGGGUGGGAGCUUAAAAAAGGGGGAUCUUAACAAGUGCUGAUUUUAGCAGUGAAAUGUCAACCCUGUGACACUUGGCAUGGCAUUUCUUUCAGAUUAGUUCUAGUGACCAUAAGAGAAACAUUCCUUUCAAGCAAAUGCAGAACCAUAACUACCAGAUUAGUGCUGCUCACACGUUCAAGAAGCCAUAACUUCGGCUUUUCUUAAACUCAGGAUGACAACUUCAAUUGCAACAGGUCUUUCAGUGUUCUAUUUUUCCUAUGAUGUCUAAGUAUCUUACCCUAAAACAUAUAAAAUAGAGCACAGUGAAUGCUGUAGAUGUUUUUGUUGACUCCAUUCAGGGUUUAGAUUGAAUAUGUAGUGUAAAAAGGGUUGUCUCACAGAAACGUUUAAAGAAAAUGUACUAUAGGGGGAUUCUUUUGUAUGCUCCCAGUAUUACUUUGGAUCUUAAUAAUGGUUCAAUCCUUCUAAUCAGCAAUACAGUCUGACAAGAGUCUUUAGUUGCAUUCAUGAUGAUCCACAAGGUUGAAAAAAAGAGUAAGAGUACGAAAAAAAGAGUCAAAACUCUUUAGCUUAUAUUACAGAAUAUUAAAAAUGCAUAAAAACUGUGAUAUUUGGAUUCUGAUUAAAAGCAAUUAUAACCGAAAACAGAAGGCCUGAAGGCUCUCCAUGACCAAGGCUGAUCUUUCUAAUAAAUUGAUCAUUGAAUUCAGCACCCUGGACAGCAUACUUUCAGAUACCGCAACCAUAUUUCUUAUCAAUCCAUUAUUCUGAGAGAGGACAGUGCCAUAAGUAUUCUAAUUAUAUCCCUGCCGCGAGUUCAAUAAAAUUUCUCCUUGGUUGAUCAUAGCUAUCUAUUCAUCCUCAUCCUUGAAUCUUCCAUUCAUAUUCUUUGACUCAAAAUUGUCUCUCUUAAGGGAAUAUUCUUUUGCCUUUUACUUUAUUACUGCUGUUUUCUGGGGGUUAGAGUCUCCCAAUUCAGUUUGCCACAAAUCCAAUAGCAAUUGAGAAAAUUAUUGUGUCAAAAAUAAUGAAGGACCUUAAACAAUGUCGUCGGCUCUGAUCAAAUGUUUUUCUUUUUACCUAUUUAUGUAUAAGAUAUUCUGAAACCCCUCUGGCCUAAACUUAAUAAAUAUAUACAUUUUCCUUAAAUUCCUUUGUGAAUAACCUUAAACAUAAAUGCAUACAAAGAUAAACUCAAGGAGGUGCUAUCAGAUAUGUUAUUGUUUUUUUUUUAGUUUUCCAUAGAUUGUGGAAUCGCUUAUUUCUUUGUCACACUGAUAUGAUAAGACCUUUUGUAAUAAUAGCGUGUUUUGCAAUCUAAAAAAUCAUUAGUCCACAAGCUGGUUGUUAACCUAUUUUUCGAUCUGAUGACGUUACACUGGGGUUUUUGCUCUACCUCAGGAAAUGUAAAACUGAGCUGUUUAUUUUUUUCAUUGAUCCUUUAAUGUCUACCACUGCUGCAUAUAAUGGAAUCCAAACCAUUUUCCUUGUUUCUUGUCCCUGAACUCAUCACACAGUUCUUUUAAUAAUAAGGGCUGCCCUGACUCCUCCCCCUGCGCCAGUAGAUUUGUUUUUUGUUUCUCUGGUGUAUCAUGAAAGGGAGUAUCUUCUGAAAAGUAGUUCAAUUAGUGGAGCAGCCUCUGGUGCUUUUCUUAAAAUCUUCUCCCACAUAUUAUGCAUCGAGAGACACCUCUUCCCAGCCUGUCUUGACCCUGGGCUCUCUAUAAACAGAGCGUGUGGACCAAUUCCAUGUCUCUGUUUGCUCAUGGGAUUAAUCAGGAGACUCCCUUUCAACAGAGAAAAUUGGGCCAAUGAAUAUGAAAAGCUUUCAAUCAAAAUCAUUCGCAUUCAUAAGGUUUGCCACAUCCUCUGCACAAGAAAGAAGGAGGGAGUUAGUUUGGGUUCUUGCCAGAUUGUAACAAUGACGUUCAUCAGUGGGAGCAAAUGUCUCAGAGGGCAGUUUGCUUCUCUCAUGUUUAUUUUAAAGCACAGUGAUACACAUAAGCACUGUAGUUUGUUACAAUUUAUUUGAAAGGUUCUGUCUUCCUAGAAACACUUUAAAAGCAAUCUACAGGGAAUCACUGUAUAGAAUAUGAGCAGUGGCCUGUAGUAGCUGUUCUGCUACUACAGGAAUGUUUAGAUCCUUGAAAUGGCUUUGACCUUUUCUUCUGUGACUUCUCCAAAACCAAAAAUCACAAACUGUCCUUCUCGGUUAUCCGCCACUCAGAACGUACAAUUCCUUAAGGAGAAUGGCUCGAGCGCUUAACAAGGUUGACUGAUCGUUCCCCAAGAAAAGCACCUUGUGCAGCUUGUUGCCAGAAAGCUAAGAGGAAAGCUGUUUUAUCCUAGAAUAAAACUGGGGAAUGUGGAGGAAAUGCACUUGGUGGAGUUAACUCUCCGCGAGUCCAGCCGCGAGUCUGGGAGAGCCAGAACACAUCAAAGCUUCCUGCCUGGGCCUCAGAAAACAGCUUUUCUACAAAGCCAGUAUUAGUUUAGAAUACUUGACUAAUCAUUGUAUAUACAAGUCCUUUUUUCCUCUGGACCUUUCGAUGGGACUUUUAAACAACCAUACUGACAGAAAAAGAUUACAUAUCUUUCUAUAGGUUCAAUGUAUUAGAUAUAGAUUUGGGCUGAUUCUCAUCAUAAGAGAUUUGAAUGCUUUAAACUAUUAGCCUGAACUAAGGAAAUAUGAAUAAUUAGGCAGUCAAGACUUUCUCACCUGAAGAGGAAAGGUGGAUUCAAAACCUAUGAGGAGGCUUGAAUAAGGUACUUACAUUGUCUUUAACUGGGUUUCUAUUGCUAAAUACUGAACACUUUCUCACAAGAGCUCCGAGAUGAAGGCAGUGUAAACAUCCUACACUCUCAGCUUUGGCAAGUAAAGAGGCUGGGAGAGGGGUGUUUGCGCUCUCUAGCUCGGAAAAGCAACGUCUGAGGAAAUGGGCUUGGUUAAACUAAUAGAUUUGGACUUUAGUACACUUAUGCUCUGUAGGAAUUUGAUCUGAUGGGCUCAAAAAAGCAGACACUGGAGUUAAACCUACCAACUUUAAUGUAUUAAUAAAAUAUUUUUCUUAUUUGCUUGUAAUUCUAAAUCAUUUGAAUUAUUUUUUAUAAAUUAUGGAAAUUAGCAUUACUUUUAAAAGACGCUUGGACACAUAGUGUACCUAAUGACUUUGGUGGAGAAGCUCCUAGAUAUGUUAUAUAACUGCUUCCUUCCUGAGAAGUUGAACAAGUUCAUUUAUAACUCCUAGCCCUUGAAGAAUAUUUUGUUUUUACAAUGUAUCAUGGGAGUCAAAAGAAAUGAUGGUUUUUACAGAUUUCCUGUAAUAUUUACAGGGAACUCUUCUUUAAAAAUGCAUUAGAAAUCUGUGCUGUCUUAACACAGGACAGUGAAUGGGAGUCUUGUAAGUACAUGUAUUAAAAGAUGACUACAUUUGUACGGUUUGCUUUUUCAACUUCGGUUUGUUACUAAAGCUGUGAGGUGGGUUGUUCAACUGCUAGCUACCCAGUUCCACUUCUGGAGUAAUGACAAAAAUGCACAACUAGGAUUGCCCGUCUUUGCUAGUCGGCACACUUAACAUCCUUUUAACAGCUCAAGAUGUAUGUCGUUUGUAGCACAUUAUUUGUGGUAUGAUUUUUAGCUUUUCCUGCUAUCUUACAAAUGUGAAAUUAUGUCAACACUUGGAAUACAUUCUUGCUUUGCACUUGCGAUCUUGCUCAAUGAAAGGAAGUCAUGGCGUGCACGCCCCUUCGGGCAGACAGGGCUGAAACACUUCCACCUCUCUGGCCCCUGUUAACAUGACCUUGCUUUGUGUGCAAGAUGUGCUGACGACUGUUCUGCUUCAUUGACAUCAUUAACGUGGAAGUCUUCAUUUCCUGUCAGGUUUUAGAUUUUUCCUGGCUUAAUUGCAACAUAAAUGCAAUACUUGUGGACUUAUUUGAAAAAGUAUUUUCAGCAGUUAUUUUUUAAAUUGGUGGUUAAUAACCCUUUGUGACCUAUUAGCAGGAUUAUUUUUCUAAGAUUGUAUUGUAUUGAUGUGUGGUGCACUACAAGUUGUUGCAGAGCUAAGACUAAAAGGAUUAAAAACUGUGAAAGGUUUGCAAACAUCAAUUUAAGUUCUUUAUAAAACGUUUUUUAUGUAUAGGUCUUUGAUACUGAUAUCCGAUCCGAUCUGACUUAACCUACCGAGGCACAGAAAGUGUCAUCUCUGCAUUACUUGGGGAAAAAAAAUAUUCAGAAUGUAUAUUAUACAGGUACUAAUCAUGUUGAUGUAUUUACACAAUAUCCAAUUAAAAUUUGAUAUUCCAAGAAUAAA
Lepisosteus oculatus (spotted gar) is the source of this 8321-nucleotide long non-coding RNA. RefSeq lists it as uncharacterized. The record is from RefSeq and is a predicted model, not a curated record. Lineage: Eukaryota; Metazoa; Chordata; Actinopteri; Semionotiformes; Lepisosteidae.